Molecule: ribosomal RNA, 468 nt
Filed under: uncultured bacterium
Lineage: Bacteria
Description: partial 16S ribosomal RNA
Rfam family: Bacterial small subunit ribosomal RNA
Source: RNAcentral
GACGAACGCUGGCGGCGUGCUUAACACAUGCAAGUCGAACGGAAAGGCCCUGCUUUUGUGGGGUGCUCGAGUGGCGAACGGGUGAGUAACACGUGAGUAACCUGCCCUUGACUUUGGGAUAACUUCAGGAAACUGGGGCUAAUACCGGAUAGGAGCUCCUGCUGCAUGGUGGGGGUUGGAAAGUUUCGGCGGUUGGGGAUGGACUCGCGGCUUAUCAGCUUGUUGGUGGGGUAGUUGCUUACCAAGGCUUUGACGGGUAGCCGGCCUGAGAGGGUGACCGGCGACAUUGGGACUGAGAGACGGACCAGAAUCCUACGGGACGCAGCAGUGGGGAAUAUUGCGCAAUGGGCGGAAGCCUGAGGCAGCAACGCCGCGUGCGGGAUGACGGCCUUCGGGUUGUAAACCGCUUUCGCCUGUGACGAAGCGUGAGUGACGGUAAUGGGUAAAGAAGCACCGGCUAACUACGUG